GACGAGCGCUGGCGGCGUGCUUAACACAUGCAAGUCGAACGGUGAAGCGCCUUCCUUUUUGGUGGGUUUGGAUGAGUGGCGAACGGGUGAGUAACACGUGAGUAACCUGCCCCCUUCUUCUGGAUAACCGCAUGAAAGUGUGGCUAAUACGGGAUAUUCUGGGUCUGUCGCAUGAUGGGUCUGGGACAGAUAUUGUUUCGGUGGGGGAUGGGCUCGCGGCCUAUCAGCUUGUUGGUGGGGUGAUGGCCUACCAAGGCGGUGACGGGUAGCCGGCCUGAGAGGGUGGAGGGUCACACUGGGACUGAGACACGGCCCAGACUACUACGGGAGGCAGCAGUGGGGAAUAUUGCACAAUGGGCGCAAGACUGAUGCAGCGACGCAGCGUGAGGGAUGGAGGCCUUCGGGUUGUGAACCUCUUUCGCCAGUGAAGCAGGCCUGCCUCGUUUGUGGGUGGGUUGACGGUAGCUGGAUAAGAAGCGCCGGCUAACUACGUG
RNAcentral lists this ribosomal RNA (494 nucleotides) under uncultured bacterium. RNAcentral's name for it is "partial 16S ribosomal RNA". It matches the Rfam family "Bacterial small subunit ribosomal RNA", at positions 28 to 507 of the family's 1533-position model. The record is from RNAcentral.